AGGACGAACGCUGGCGGCGCGCUUAAUACAUGCAAGUCGAGCGAGAACCAGGGCUUCGGCCCUGGGGACAGCGGCGAACGGGUGAGUAACACGUGGGUAAUCAACCCCCGACACCGGGAUAGCCCAGGGAAACUUGGAUUAAUACCGGAUGCUCCAUCUGGCUUUCGAGCCGGCUGGAAAAGGGUGCUUCGGCCUCCGGUCGGGGACGAGCCCGCGGCGGAUUAGCUUGUUGGUGAGGUAAAGGCUCACCAAGGCGACGAUCCGUAGCUGGUCUGAGAGGACGAUCAGCCACACUGGGACUGAGACACGGCCCAGACUCCUACGGGAGGCAGCAGUAGGGAAUCUUGCGCAAUGGGCGAAAGCCUGACGCAGCGACGCCGCGUGAGGGAAGAAGGCCUUCGGGUUGUAAACCUCUUUCAGGAGGGACGAAGCCACUCGGGUUAAUAGCCCAGAGGGUGACGGUACUCCAGAAGAAGCCCCGGCUAACUACGCGCCAGCAGCCGCGGU
Molecule: ribosomal RNA, 507 nt
Filed under: uncultured bacterium
Lineage: Bacteria
Description: SSU rRNA
Rfam family: Bacterial small subunit ribosomal RNA
Source: RNAcentral